CCUACGGGNAGGCAGCAGUAGGGANGUCAAUGGGGGCCAGCGCGACGACGNAUCUUCCGUGGGGGAUGAAGACCCUCCGGUCGUAAACUCCUUGACCGAGGUGAACNUCCUUGGGGAUAAUACCCCGGGGGACUGUCAGUANCGGGCGUNGAAGCCCNGGCUAACUCCGUNCCAGCAGCCGGGGUAAUACGGGGGGGGCAAGCUUUGUUUGGAAUUAAUGGGCGUAAAGGGUCGGUAGGCGGCCAACUAAGUCAGACGUUAAAUCCCCCGUUAACCNGGGAANUCCGUGUGAUANUGGUUGGCUUGAGUGCAGGAGAGGAACGCGGAAUUCCAGGUGUAGCGGUGAAAUGNGUGGAUAUAUGGAGGAACCCCCNUGNCGAGGGNGGCCUUCUGGCAGGAAACCGACGGAGGGAGGAAAGCCAGGGGAGCAAACAAGAUUGGAUACCCCGGUAGUCNCCCCCAACACGAAUGCAUGGUGUGGCUGGUUCUNCNUCCGUGCGGAGUNAUAAGCCCNC
This 515-nucleotide ribosomal RNA is filed under the name uncultured bacterium. RNAcentral's name for it is "partial 16S ribosomal RNA". It matches the Rfam family "Bacterial small subunit ribosomal RNA", at positions 338 to 869 of the family's 1533-position model. The record is from RNAcentral.